RNAcentral lists this ribosomal RNA (440 nucleotides) under uncultured bacterium. RNAcentral describes it as "partial 16S ribosomal RNA". It matches the Rfam family "Bacterial small subunit ribosomal RNA", at positions 338 to 795 of the family's 1533-position model. The record is from RNAcentral.
CCUACGGGCGGCUGCAGUGAGGAAUAUUGGGCAAUGGGGGCAACCCUGACCCAGCCAUGCCGCGUGAGUGAAGAAGGUCUUCGGAUUGUAAAGCUCUUUCGGACGUGACGAUGAUGACGAUAGCUCCUAAAGAAGCACCUGCAAACUUGGUGCCAGCAGCCGCGGUAAUACGAAGGGUGCGAGCGGUGUUCGGAAUUACUGGGCGUAAAGGGAGUGUAGGCGGAUAUGUAAGAUAGCGGUGAAAUGCCGGGGCUCAACCCCGGAACUGCCAUUAUGACUAUGUAUCUAGAGUAAUGGAGAGGAUAGCGGAAUACCGAGUGUAGAGGUGAAAUUCGUAGAUAUUGGGUAGAACACCAGUGGCGAAGGCGGCUAUCUGGCCAUUUACUGACGCUGAAGCACGAAAGCGUGGGUAGCAAACAGGAUUAGAUACCCGAGUAGUC